RNAcentral lists this ribosomal RNA (294 nucleotides) under uncultured eukaryote. RNAcentral's name for it is "partial 18S ribosomal RNA". It matches the Rfam family "Eukaryotic small subunit ribosomal RNA", at positions 374 to 668 of the family's 1831-position model. The record is from RNAcentral.
CGGCCGCGUCGACAGAGGGAGCCUGAGAAACGGCUACCACAUCCAAGGAAGGCAGCAGGCGCGCAAAUUACCCAAUCCCGACACGGGGAGGUAGUGACAAUAUGUAACAAUAUACGGCCUUAUACGUCGUAUAAUUGGAAUGAGUACAAUUUAAAUCCCUUAACGAGGAACAAUUGGAGGGCAAGUCUGGUGCCAGCAGCCGCGGUAAUUCCAGCUCCAAUAGCGUAUAUUAAAGUUGUUGCAGUUAAAAAGCUCGUAGUUGGACCUUGGACCUGGACAGGCGGUCCGCCUCAC